RNAcentral lists this ribosomal RNA (468 nucleotides) under uncultured bacterium. RNAcentral describes it as "partial 16S ribosomal RNA". It matches the Rfam family "Bacterial small subunit ribosomal RNA", at positions 28 to 507 of the family's 1533-position model. The record is from RNAcentral.
GACGAACGCUGGCGGCGUGCUUAACACAUGCAAGUCGAACGGAAAGGCCCUGCUUUUGUGUGGUGCUCGAGUGGCACGCGGGUGUGUAACCCGUGAGUCUCCUGCCCUUUACUUUGGGAUAUCUUCAGGAAACUGGUGCUACUACCUAAUAGGUGCUCCUGCUGCAGGGGGGUGUUUGGACCGUUUGGGCGGUUGGGGAUGGACUGGCGGCUUAUCAGCUUGUUGGGGGGGUAGUGGCUUACCAAGCCUUUGACGGGUAGCCGGCCUGAGAGGGUGACCGGCCACAUGGGGACUGAGAUACGGCCCAGACUGCUACGGGAGGCAGCAGGGGGGAAUAUUGCACAAUGGGCGGAAGCCUGAGGAAGAAACGCCGCGUGCGGGAUGACGGCCUUCGGGUUGUAAACCGCUUUCGCCUGUGACGAAGCGUGAGUGACGGUAAUGGGUAAAGAAGCACCGGCUAACUACGUG